This 497-nucleotide ribosomal RNA is filed under the name uncultured bacterium. RNAcentral's name for it is "partial 16S ribosomal RNA". It matches the Rfam family "Bacterial small subunit ribosomal RNA", at positions 28 to 507 of the family's 1533-position model. The record is from RNAcentral.
GACGAACGCUGGCGGCGUGCCUAAUACAUGCAAGUUGAGCGCUGAAGGUUGGUACUUGUACCAACUGGAUGAGCAGCGAACGGGUGAGUAACGCGUGGGGAAUCUGCCUUUGAGCGGGGGACAACAUUUGGAAACGAAUGCUAAUACCGCAUAAAAACUUUAAACACAAGUUUUAAGUUUGAAAGAUGCAAUUGCAUCACUCAAAGAUGAUCCCUCGUUGUAUUAGCUAGUUGGUGAGGUAAAGGCUCACCAAGGCGAUAAUACAUAGCCGACCUGAGAGGGUGAUCGGCCACAUUGGGACUGAGACACGGCCCAAACGCCUACGGGAGGCAGCAGUAGGGAAUCUUCGGGAAUGGACGAAAGUCUGACCGAGCAACGCCGCGUGAGUGAAGAAGGUUGUCGGAUCGUAAAACUCGGUUGGUAGAGAAGAACGUUGGUGAGAGUGGAAAGCUCAUCAAGUGACGGUAACUACCCAGAAAGGGACGGCUAACUACGUG